Molecule: transfer RNA, 84 nt
Filed under: Caerostris extrusa
Lineage: Eukaryota; Metazoa; Arthropoda; Arachnida; Araneae; Araneidae
Description: tRNA-Leu
Rfam family: tRNA
About the family: Transfer RNA (tRNA) molecules are approximately 80 nucleotides in length.
Source: RNAcentral
GUCAGGAUGGCCGAGGGGUCUAAGGUGUCAGACUCAAGUUCUGGUCCACGAAUAUGGUCGUGGGUUCGAAUCCCACUUCUGACA